AACGAACGCUGGCGGCAUGCCUAACACAUGCAAGUCGAACGAACCCUUCGGGGUUAGUGGCGCACGGGUGCGUAACGCGUGGGAAUCUGCCCUUUGCUUCGGAAUAACAGUUAGAAAUGACUGCUAAUACCGGAUGAUGUCUUCGGACCAAAGAUUUAUCGGCAAGGGAUGAGCCCGCGUAGGAUUAGGUAGUUGGUGGGGUAAGGGCCUACCAAGCCGACGAUCCUUAGCUGGUCUGAGAGGAUGAUCAGCCACACUGGGACUGAGACACGGCCCAGACUCCUACGGGAGGCAGCAGUGGGGAAUAUUGGACAAUGGGCGCAAGCCUGAUCCAGCAAUGCCGCGUGAGUGAUGAAGGCCUUCGGGUCGUAAAGCUCUUUUACCAGGGAUGAUAAUGACAGUACCUGGAGAAUAAGCUCCGGCUAACUCCGUGCCAGCAGCCGCGGUAAUACGGAGGGAGCUAGCGUUGUUCGGAAUUACUGGGCGUAAAGCGCACGUAGGCGGCGACACAAGUCAGAGGUGAAAGCCCGGGGCUCAACCCCGGAACUGCCUUUGAAACUAGGUUGCUAGAAUCUUGGAGAGGUCAGUGGAAUUCCGAGUGUAGAGGUGAAAUUCGUAGAUAUUCGGAAGAACACCAGUGGCGAAGGCGACUGACUGGACAAGUAUUGACGCUGAGGUGCGAAAGCGUGGGGAGCAAACAGG
This 702-nucleotide ribosomal RNA is filed under the name uncultured Alphaproteobacteria bacterium. Its description in RNAcentral is "bacterial SSU rRNA". It matches the Rfam family "Bacterial small subunit ribosomal RNA", at positions 28 to 776 of the family's 1533-position model. Lineage: Bacteria; Pseudomonadati; Pseudomonadota; Alphaproteobacteria. The record is from RNAcentral.